GUGAAUCAUCUAAUUUUUGAACGCAAAUUGCACUCUCCUGUUUUCCGGAAGAUGAUGCUGGUUGGAGGGUAAGCUUAAAUAAAUUCGUCUUGGUAGUUGGUUGGGUUUUUCACGUUAACGUUGGUCGUAAUUCGGUUCAUCUUAAACCGAAAGGUUUUUAAGCUACUUAAAAUUUGCUUUACGAUCCCACAAACGUUUUUAAGAUUUUCUUGUAUGUUCAAGGUAUCUAUUUGAUACUGCACCGUCG
RNAcentral lists this unclassified non-coding RNA (247 nucleotides) under Glomus sp. RNAcentral describes it as "partial internal transcribed spacer 2". Lineage: Eukaryota; Fungi; Glomeromycota; Glomeromycetes; Glomerales; Glomeraceae. The record is from RNAcentral.